GUGUCGCUUGCUCUAAAACGCCGUGGGGAUGGCGUUUUGGGCCUGGAUAAUUUCAACCAUUACUAUGAUGUCGGGCUGAAAAAAGCCCGAAUGGGCCUGCUUGAACGUUCAGGUAUUUAUAUCGUUGAUGGUGAUAUAAAUGAUGCCGUUUUGCUAAAGAAGCUGUUUGAUGCUGUUGCUUUUACACAUGUAAUGCAUAUGGCGGCUCAAGCCGCAUAAAUGAUGCUGUUUUGUUAAAAAAACUGUUUGAUGCUGUUGCUUUUACACAUGUCAUGCAUAUGGCGGCUCAAGCCGGAGUUAGAUAUGCAAUGCAGAAUCCAGGUUCUUAUGUUCAUAGUAAUAUAGCUGGUUUUGUUAGUUUACU
RNAcentral lists this long non-coding RNA (364 nucleotides) under Nicotiana benthamiana. RNAcentral describes it as "long non-coding RNA (NBEN_LNC005068)". The record is from RNAcentral. Lineage: Eukaryota; Viridiplantae; Streptophyta; Magnoliopsida; Solanales; Solanaceae.